This 337-nucleotide ribosomal RNA is filed under the name Salmonella enterica subsp. enterica serovar Infantis. Its description in RNAcentral is "bacterial SSU rRNA". It matches the Rfam family "Bacterial small subunit ribosomal RNA", at positions 1 to 332 of the family's 1533-position model. The record is from RNAcentral. Lineage: Bacteria; Pseudomonadati; Pseudomonadota; Gammaproteobacteria; Enterobacterales; Enterobacteriaceae.
UUAAAUUGAAGAGUUUGAUCAUGGCUCAGAUUGAACGCUGGCGGCAGGCCUAACACAUGCAAGUCGAACGGUAACAGGAAGCAGCUUGCUGCUUUGCUGACGAGUGGCGGACGGGUGAGUAAUGUCUGGGAAACUGCCUGAUGGAGGGGGAUAACUACUGGAAACGGUGGCUAAUACCGCAUAACGUCGCAAGACCAAAGAGGGGGACCUUCGGGCCUCUUGCCAUCAGAUGUGCCCAGAUGGGAUUAGCUAGUUGGUGAGGUAACGGCUCACCAAGGCGACGAUCCCUAGCUGGUCUGAGAGGAUGACCAGCCACACUGGAACUGAGACACGGUCC